UACGUAGGGUGCGAGCGUUAAUCGGAAUUACUGGGCGUAAAGCGUGCGCAGGCGGUUGUGCAAGACAGAUGUGAAAUCCCCGGGCUUAACCUGGGAACUGCAUUUGUGACUGCACAGCUAGAGUGCGGCAGAGGGGGAUGGAAUUCCGCGUGUAGCAGUGAAAUGCGUAGAUAUGCGGAGGAACACCGAUGGCGAAGGCAAUCCCCUGGGCCUGCACUGACGCUCAUGCACGAAAGCGUGGGGAGCAAACAGG
This 253-nucleotide ribosomal RNA is filed under the name uncultured bacterium. RNAcentral describes it as "partial 16S ribosomal RNA". It matches the Rfam family "Bacterial small subunit ribosomal RNA", at positions 524 to 776 of the family's 1533-position model. The record is from RNAcentral.